UGGGGAAUAUUGCACAAUGGGCGAAAGCCUGAUGCAGCGACGCCGCGUGAGGGAUGACGGCCUUCGGGUUGUAAACCUCUUUCGACAGGGAUGAAGCCUUCGGGUGACAGUACCUGUAGAAGAAGCACCGGCUAACUACGUGCCAGCAGCCGCGGUAAUACGUAGGGUGCGAGCGUUGUCCGGAAUUAUUGGGCGUAAAGAGCUCGUAGGUGGUCCGUCACGUCGGGUGUGAAAACCCAGGGCUCAACCCUGGGCGUGCACUCGAUACGGGCGGACUAGAGUUCGGUAGGGGAGACUGGAAUUCCUGGUGUAGCGGUGGAAUGCGCAGAUAUCAGGAGGAACACCGGUGGCGAAGGCGGGUCUCUGGGCCGAUACUGACACUGAGGAGCGAAAGCGUGGGGAGCGAACAG
This 410-nucleotide ribosomal RNA is filed under the name uncultured bacterium. Its description in RNAcentral is "bacterial SSU rRNA". It matches the Rfam family "Bacterial small subunit ribosomal RNA", at positions 355 to 775 of the family's 1533-position model. The record is from RNAcentral.